UGGUAGACCCGGUCUAAGCGUGUAGGGCGAUCCGUUGGCAAAUCCGCGGAUCAUGAGCCUGAGACGUGACGGGACCCCCAUUCGUGGGGGGAUUCGGUGAUCCUAUGCUGCCGAGAAAAGCAUCGACGCGAGGUUCCAGCCGCCCGUACCCCAAACCGACACAGGUGAUCAGGUAGAGAAUACUAAGGCGAUCGAGAGAAUCAUGGUUAAGGAACUCGGCAAAAUGCCCCCGUAACUUCGGGAGAAGGGGGGCCCCGACCGUGGACACCACUUGCUGGUGCGAGCGGGUAAGGGCCGCAGAGACCAGGGGGAAGCGACUGUUUAUCAAAAACACAGGUCCGUGCGAAGUCGCAAGACGAUGUAUACGGACUGACUCCUGCCCGGUGCUGGAAGGUUAAGAGGACCUGUUAGCCUCACGGCGAAGCGGAGAAUUUAAGCCCCAGUAAACGGCGGUGGUAACUAUAACCAUCCUAAGGUAGCGAAAUUCCUUGUCGGGUAAGUUCCGACCUGCACGAAUGGAGUAACGACUUCCCCGCUGUCUCAACCAUGAACUCGGCGAAAUUGCAGUACGAGUAAAGAUGCUCGUUACGCGCAGCAGGACGGAAAGACCCCGAGACCUUUACUAUAGUUUGGUAUUGGUGUUCGGUGUGGCUUGUGUAGGAUAGGUGGGAGACGGUGAAGCGGGCACGCCAGUGCACGUGGAGUCAACGUUGAAAUACCACUCUGGUCACUCUGGACAUCUAACUUCGGCCCGUGAUCCGGGUCAGGGACAGUGCCUGAUGGGUAGUUUAAC
Molecule: ribosomal RNA, 793 nt
Filed under: Shigella flexneri
Lineage: Bacteria; Pseudomonadati; Pseudomonadota; Gammaproteobacteria; Enterobacterales; Enterobacteriaceae
Description: partial 23S ribosomal RNA
Rfam family: Bacterial large subunit ribosomal RNA
Source: RNAcentral